Elaeis guineensis (African oil palm) is the source of this 5619-nucleotide RNA transcript. RefSeq lists it as uncharacterized. NCBI's taxonomy places the organism in Eukaryota, Viridiplantae, Streptophyta, Magnoliopsida, Arecales, Arecaceae. The record is from RefSeq and is a predicted model, not a curated record.
UACAACAGCAUCAAACGGGGAAGGAGCUCCACUGAUGCGCCCGCUCUCUCUGAAGGGAGUUGCCUGCCCCCUAAAAGCCUUGAAACCCGGCUUCAGUCACUCAACUUGUACCCCCAAGCUCCCGCUGGUUCACGUUGGGCAAUUCGCACACAAUUUUCCAAACAAAAAAACCACCACCGUUACUCUAGCAUUCCAAAAAUCCUCGACCCCCUCCUCUAAAAACCGUCCAUCCCAAGAGUCCUCCCUCACCUCCUCUCCAACUCACUAUCACGCGGAAGCUGACGGUUCUUGAAUCAGAGUAAUAUAACAAAUCUAAAAGCGAGACGCGGCCGCGGCCAGCGGCAGGAGCAGCGCCAUCGCAAGAUCGUCACGGCUCCGCCGGCAAUAUCGCGAGCGCGCGAUGAGGGAGAAGAGCCUCCCCGUUAUCUCUUCAGAACAGAAGCGGGACGCCUAUGGGUUUGCCGUGCGGCCUCAACACUUGCAGAGAUACCGGGAAUAUGCAAAAAUCUACAAGGAGGAAGAAGAAGAGCGAUCGGAACAAUGGAAGAACUUCUUCCAGAGGCUGGCCGAGUCUGCGCUAGUGUCGUCCAACGAGUCGUGGGCAGAAGAUAUUGAUGCGGACACGCCAAACGACGCAGGAAAUGACUGUGAUCGGAAUGGACUUGACAGAUGUGAUGGAUCCGAGGAAGUUGGUGCAGAAAAGGAGCCGGUUGAGAAGGAAAAGGCGAAAAUCCAUAGAACCAAUACAUGGAGUCAGAUAAGACCAUCCCUCGCUGCCAUCGUGCAGUUGAUGAGUCAUCGGGUGAAAAAGAGGAAGAGCCCAUCCUGCAACGAACAGGAAUCUGGGAGAACUGGGAAUCGCCUCGCACCAAUUGAAGAGGUGGCAAGACAUUCUAAAGAAGAAGAGUCUGAGGAAGAGUUCUAUGAUAUGGACAGAUCGGAUGUGGUCCAGGAGGACGCAGCUUCAGGGGACGGUGGGAAUGCUGAUUCGGCAGCAAAGCAGGAGCCUUUCUUUCCUUGGAAAGAAGAGCUGGAGUGCCUUGUUCGUGGAGGGGUGCCAAUGGCUCUCAGAGGAGAGCUAUGGCAAGCUUUUGUGGGUGUAACGGCGCGGAGGGUGGAGGGAUAUUAUGAUGACUUGCUAGCUCCGGACACUGACACUGAUGAAUCUGAUGCCUCACUUCCAAAUGACACUGUUGGCAUGCCAAAAAGACCUCGGGGAGGAUGUGUGCCUGAGAAAUGGAAGACUCAGAUUGAGAAGGAUUUGCCUCGAACAUUUCCAGGGCAUCCCGCUUUAGAUGAUGACGGGAGAAAUGCACUGAGGCGUUUGCUUACAGCAUAUGCUCGCCAUAAUCCAUCAGUUGGGUACUGCCAGGCUAUGAAUUUCUUUGGGGGCUUGUUACUAUUGUUGAUGCCUGAGGAAAAUGCAUUUUGGACAUUAUUGGGUAUCAUCGAUGACUACUUUGAUGGCUACUAUUCUGAGGAAAUGAUUGAAUCUCAGGUGGACCAGCUUGUUCUUGAGGAGCUAGUGCAUGAGAAAUUUCCAAAAUUGGUUCAUCAUUUGGAUUAUUUGGGCGUGCAGGUGGCAUGGGUCACCGGACCUUGGUUCCUUUCCAUUUUCACGAAUAUGCUUCCAUGGGAAAGUGUUCUUCGUAUAUGGGAUGUGCUUCUCUUUGAUGGAAAUCGUGUAAUGUUAUUCCGAGCAGCACUUGCUUUGAUGGAAUUAUAUGGUCCUGCAGUUGUGACUACAAAAGAUGCUGGAGAUGCAGUUACAUUACUGCAGUCCCUUGCUGGCUCUACCUUUGACAGUAGCCAGCUUGUCUUGACAGCUUGCAUGGGUUAUCAAGCUGUAGAUGAAACAAUAUUGAAAGAGCUGAGAAAAAAACAUAGGCCUGCAGUUAUAGCUGCCAUGGAGGAAAGAUCCAGAGGACUUAAUUCAUGGAAGGACUCCAAGGGCCUAGCAUCUAAGUUAUAUAGUUUCAAACAUGAUCCAGGAUCGAUACUUACAGAAACCAACUCGGCAGAUGUGUCAGAUGACAUGCAAACCAAUGGGGAGUUGCAUUCCUUGAAGUCUGGAUCAACAGAUAUAGAAGGAUAUUUGAAUAGUCUAACAGUUGAUACAGAGACAGAUUCCUUACCUGAUCUUAAAGAACAGGUGACAUGGUUGAAGGUUGAGCUGUGUAAUUUGCUGGAGGAGAAAAGAUCAGCUGUUCUCAGAGCUGAGGAGUUGGAAACAGCAUUCAUGGAGAUGGUCAAGCAGGACAAUAGACGUCUUUUAAGUGCCAAGGUUGAGCAGUUGGAGAAAGAGGUAUCUGAACUUCGGCAGGUUCUUGCAGAUAAGCAAGAGCAAGAGCGUGCCAUUAUUCAGGUCUUGAUGAGGAUGGAACAAGAACAGAAGUUGACAGAAGAUGCUCGCAUAUCUGCCGAGCAAGAUGCUGCUGCUCAGAAAUAUGCUGCUCAUGUGCUGCAGGAAAAAUAUGAAGAAGCUACAUCUGCACUUGCACAAAUGGAGAAAAGGACUGUGAUGGCAGAAACAAUGCUGGAGGCUACAUUGCAGUACCAGUCUGGUCAGGUUAAAGCUCAACAACCUCAUUCUCCAAGAACUCCACAGACCAUUCAAGAGUUGUCUCAGCAUGCACCCACCAGGAAAAUAGGCCUGCUCUCCAGACCUUUUGGCUGGCUUGACAAAAACAAGAUGAAAUCCUUCGGAGGCGCUGGAGUGAGGCGACGUCCGGUGGGCCGACGAUAGCCGGAUCUGCAAAGAAAAGUCUUCACUAGAGUUGGCUCCGGCGGGGACCUUCCGACGCUCAAGUUAGUUUUCUUCGUAAUAGAUUGAAAAGAGCGAGCAAUUUUGUGAAGGAGAGGAGGCGUACUUCGGGAUCUCUUGUUUACCUCUUUUAUAUGGGAAGCCGGAGUCACAGGAGAAUAUGAGAUUGUCAAGAAUCCUAUCUCCCAUUAAUAUUUUUGGGAAUUAUGCCUAACAAUAUCAUUUCAUAGCACGUGGGGAACCGCCUAUAUUCAUGGCAUAGGCUGACAGGGGGGCUGUUGGAGGGUGUGGAAAACUCAUCCUUCUUAUGACUACUGUUAUUAAUUAAUGGGGGGAUGUGAUGGGCCAUAAAAGAUGGAUCGGCAAAUAAGAGGGCUUCGGACGGAGAAGCAUGAGGACUUCGGCAUGGCCGAAGUAAGUUUCGGUUCUGACGGGGGCAAGUGAGAGCAUAUUCUCUUUCCUCUCCCUAUGGCCACCACCUUUGCUCUCUCCUCCAUCUUUUCUUUUUGUCUUGUUGUGUGGCCCUUAGCCCAUGGGAGGAUGAGACAUGAGGAAAGGAGGCAUUAAUGCCUUUAUUAUUUUUAUAUGACCAUCUCUUCUCCAUUGCUGUCUUCUUAUAUUAUUAUUUUUUUUGUCCUAUUGUGAUGUCUCAUGGGAGAAGAGAAUGAGUGGAAAAAAGCAGUUAAUGCUUCUUGUCAGAUCCAUGUAACCCAAGGGCAGAUACUCGAGCAUGUGCACGAUGGAUAGCACGAUCUGAAGGCCUUUCGCCUCAUGUCUUCGGCUGAUACAAGUAUAUCCCCCAACAAUAACCCCCCUACUCCUGAAUCCGAGUCAUAAUUGGGUCGGACGAAGGGAGUACUACUAAUUUGCCGAAAACGUAUCGAGAUCAUCCCUUCACUUUGGCUUUUAAGGGCCUUGGCUGUGCUCGCUAAAGAGCGAGAGGCCUUAGGCCUUCGACGGUGCCACUCGCUGAUGAGCGAGGGGCCUUGGGGCCAUUAAUCUAGUUUUGUUGAUUGGGACAGCCUAUCUAGAGGCUCGGACGUUUGAUCCCCCCUAAUAGGUAGCUUCAGCCCACUCAUGAAUAAACAUGAGAACGUGUAUGCAGAGAGAGUUUGUGAGCAAUCACAACUCAACAAAUACGUAAACAUUGUGAAGUGCGGAUUGGUGUCUAAUGUUUGGGAGGCAUGCCAGUUUUUAAUUUUUAUACUCCCACAGUAUAUUUGUCACAUGGUUCUGGGUAGAGUUUUUAAGUGAUGGUCUAAUGUUUUGAGAAUGCCAUGUUGUUUAGUAGAGUUAGCUCCAUAAGGUCCUCUCCACUUUGAGAGAGGCGUGACUUAAGCCUUUGUUCGGAUCAUAUAUCUUAAUGGGUAAGCCAGCUUUAUGCUCCAGGCAUACACCCAGGCUAAUAGGUGGCACCCCGGACUCGGGACUCGAGUAGGGGGGCUAUUGUUGGGACGUAUACCUGUAUCGGCCGAAGACAUGAGGUGGAGGGCCUUCGGAUUGUGCUAUCCAUCGUGCACAUGCCCGAGUAUCUACCCCUGGGUCACAUAGAUCUGAGAACAGCAUUAAAUACUUUUUUCCCACUCAUUUUCGUCUCCCAUGAGACAUCACAAUAGGACAAAAAAAUAAUAAUAUAAGAAGACAGCUAUGGAGAAGAGGUGGUCAUAUAAAAAUAAUAAAGGCAUUAAUGUCUUCUUUUGUCACAUCUCAUCCUCUCAUGGGCCAAGGGCCACACAACAAGACAAAAAGAAAAGGUGGAGGAGAGAGUAAAGUGGUGACCGUAGGGAGAGGAAAAAGAAUAUGCUCUCACUUGCCCCUGUCAGAAUCGAACCUCAUUUCGGCCAUGCCGAAGUUCUCAUGCUCCAUAGUUCGAAUUCCUCUCAUUUGUCGAUCCAUCUUUUAUGGUCCGUCAUAUCCCUCCAUUAAUUAAUAACAGCAAUCAUGAGAAGGAUGAGUUUUCCACAUCCUUCAGUAGCUUUCCUGUUAGCCUAUAUCAUGAAUAUAGACGGCUCCCCACGUGCUAUGAAAUGAUAUUGCUAGGCAUAAUUUUCAAAGACAUUAAUGGGAGACGGGAUUCUUGACAAUCUCAUACUCUCCGGUGGCUCCGGUUUUCCAUAUAAAAGAGAUAAAUAAGGAAUCCAAAGUACGCCUCCUCUCCUUCACAAAAUUACUUGCUUUUUCCCACUUAUUACGGGGAAAGUUGACUUGAGCGUCAGAGGGUCUUUGUCAGAGCCACCUCUGGCGGAGAUUUUUCUUGCAGAUCCGGCCACCGUCGACCCACCGGACGUCGCCUCACUCUAAUGCCUCCGACCUAGGAUGGAUUUCAUCCGCAAUAGCGUUAUUUCGCCUGUCAUUUCUGUGAUUGGAAAUGCAUUCUUUGUAAUCCUUCACUUUUACUUUAUGUUAAAUAAUGCCUUCUGUAACUGCAAAGGGUCAGCCAAGCAAUACUGAAGAGUCCUUUGAAGGCAAAACUUCCAGCAUGGGACAGAGCCCCAAAACACCAAACAAAGAUCUGAAUGGACACCAAGAUUUGGAUAAGUAGAAUGUCUGAUGGAAGGGACUAGCAUAUCAGCAUGCCUCAGAAAUUUCUGGUUGUGUUGUCAUACCCUGUGAUUGUAUCGCUAUUAGAGAAGAUCGAUGAAAUUAUAAGAAUAGCAUUCGAUAUGAUCAGUUCCUUUCCCCUUUGUGUAAAAUUAUCCCAUUCAGAGUGCCAGUAAAUUUGGCAAUUUUCCCUGUAAUCUUUUAGAUGAUGGCUUCAAGUUGGUCGGCCAUUGUUUCAUUAGUGUAAUUAGUUGUCAUGGACACACGAAACAGACAAUAGAUUAUUGUUUAUUAUCGGAGCAACUUCAUUUUUU